Non-coding RNA from Schistosoma curassoni, 45 nucleotides. The record is from Rfam. Lineage: Eukaryota; Metazoa; Platyhelminthes; Trematoda; Strigeidida; Schistosomatidae.
ACCCAGCUGACGAGUCCGAAACAGGACAAAACUCGCUUCCUAGAU